GUUGUUUUGGCAGAUUAGUGCAAUUGAUUUAGAAUCUUUAAAUGUAUUAUUAAUACAGAUAACA
Molecule: transfer RNA, 64 nt
Filed under: Demonax pseudonotabilis
Lineage: Eukaryota; Metazoa; Arthropoda; Insecta; Coleoptera; Cerambycidae
Description: tRNA-Leu
Source: RNAcentral